CUCUGCUGUGGGAGACAAGAGAAGGGAGAAGAGACGGGGGUGAAACACUCCGCAUCUGCCGUUCCCACGGUGGUCGUCCUCGUCGUCCAACCCUGCGCGCCCGACGAGGACCGCGGCAUCCGCACCUUCACCAAGCAGUCCGCGGCGGACAAGCGCCCCAGCUAUGGGCACCGCCCACGAGCUCUGCGCCGGACGGUCCGGUCAAGGAGCUUUGCAAGCAAAGAUACAAAUUCUGACCAGUUGGAGUUGAACAACAAUAAUCAACAACAUGACUCAGGGAAUGACAGCAUGACUGACCAGCAGGAGCAAACAUCUCGUGGCAUUUGUUCACAAGCUACGUAAACUAUAGUUGAUUUGACAGAAAGUGAUGCAUCAGACGGCAUGUUGCUUGAUGGCUUGAGAACAAUCGUAAUUGCAGAAAAGACAAGAGAGGAAGCAGGAAAUGAGUGUUUUAAAAGAGCAAAGGAACAAGGUACUCGUUGACAAAGAAAACUACUUCAAUAUUUUUUUCUACUAACGAGGCCCAGGUCUGUGUACACAUGUGGCCUUUUCCUUCUCAAACAAACAAGAACAAACAAACAAAAAGCCCAACAAAAACAAGGGCAGGUUGCGGGGGUUGUUGGGCUGGAAGGGAUGGGCUGCCCACACAACAAACAAACUGGUCGACACGAGGUGAUCGGGGAGCAACCACGCGUAUUGUUUGUCAACAAGUGGGGACAGAUUAGAUGAUGAUGUCAGAUUAGUGGGGACACGAGGUGAUCCUGAUGUGAGAUGAUGAGUAUCUCACAUCUAGAUGUAACAUAGACAUACCUUUUUUUUAAUUCAUCAAUAAUUCUUGGACAUUUUUAAAUCCAUGGAAUAUCUUAAAUUUUAUUUAAAAAAAAUUCGUGAACAUUUUAAUAAUCCAUGAACAUUUUUUGAA
This is an RNA transcript of Triticum urartu, 922 nucleotides long. RefSeq lists it as uncharacterized. The record is from RefSeq and is a predicted model, not a curated record. NCBI's taxonomy places the organism in Eukaryota, Viridiplantae, Streptophyta, Magnoliopsida, Poales, Poaceae.